CCUACGGGAGGCAGCAGUGGGGGAUAUUGCACAAUGGGGGGAACCCUGAUGCAGCGACGCCGCGUGGGUGAAGGAGCGUUUCGGCGCGUAAAGCCCUAUCGGCAGGGAAGAAGGAGGACGGUACCUGACUAAGAAGCCCCGGCUAACUACGUGCCAGCAGCCGCGGUAAUACGUAGGGGGCAAGCGUUAUCCGGAUUUACUGGGUGGAAAGGGGGCGCAGACGGCAGCGCAAGCCAGGAGUGAAAGCCCGGGGCCCAACCCCGGGACUGCUCUUGGGACUGCGCGGCUGGAGUGCAGGAGGGGCAGGCGGAAUUCCUGGUGUAGCGGUGAAAGGCGUAGAUAUGAGGAGGAACACCGGUGGCGAAGGCGGCCUGCUGGACUGCGACUGACGUUGAGGCCCGAAAGCGUGGGGAGCAAACAGGAUUAGAUACCCGUGUAGUC
This 441-nucleotide ribosomal RNA is filed under the name uncultured bacterium. Its description in RNAcentral is "partial 16S ribosomal RNA". It matches the Rfam family "Bacterial small subunit ribosomal RNA", at positions 338 to 795 of the family's 1533-position model. The record is from RNAcentral.